RNAcentral lists this long non-coding RNA (578 nucleotides) under Linum usitatissimum (flax). RNAcentral's name for it is "long non-coding RNA (LUSI_LNC007929)". The record is from RNAcentral. Lineage: Eukaryota; Viridiplantae; Streptophyta; Magnoliopsida; Malpighiales; Linaceae.
CAUGGCGGGGAGGGUGUGUGCAAUUACGUUCCUGUCCUUCCAGUAGAGGACUUCGUUUCCGAUUAGGAUGUGUCGGAUUUUGGUUUUGGGGUGGAAAGGGAGGAUGUGGGUGGCGAUCCAGGUUUGGGCGGCGGGGAGUUUGGAUAAGGAUGGGACGUCGGCGUUGGCGAUUGUGACGGUGACGGAGAUUCCGGUGCCGGAGAAGGCGCGGAGGAUGUCUGGAUUGGCGUCGAAGAUUUUGACUCGGUCGAUUGUGGUUUUGGAUUUGAGGAAUGAGGAUACUUGGGAUGGGGGUGGGAGGUUGUUGGCUAAGGUGCCGUAGUUUACUCCGAUUGAGUGGAGGAGACUUGGGAUGGAGGUGGGAGGUUGUUGGCUAAGGUUCCGUAGUUUACUCCGAUUGAGUAGGCGGUGGUGGGUGGCGGUGGGAGGAGGAUUUGGAGGAGGAGGAGGAGGAUGAUCGGAGAAGUCGCCAUUUUUUCCGGCGGAGAGGAUUUCGAAUUGAUUGAUUGUGAACGGUUUAGUUUGAUUUAAAUAUGAGCAGAGAUGAAUGUGAACGGAACGGGAAGAAGAAGAGUGAG